This is a non-coding RNA of Benincasa hispida (wax gourd), 3100 nucleotides long. The record is from RefSeq and is a predicted model, not a curated record. Lineage: Eukaryota; Viridiplantae; Streptophyta; Magnoliopsida; Cucurbitales; Cucurbitaceae.
UUAAAUAUAACUCUUCAUAAUUGAAAUCAAUACUCUCUCCUCAACCAUGGCUUCCGCUUCUUCCAAACCUAAACUCUCCUCUCUAUUUACUCACUACUCACCAACAAUUCCAUCAUCAAAUCAUCCUAAAUGCCCACCCCAACCCCUUGCAUCACCGGAAAUUCCGCCGGAAAACUUCAAUAGAGGCUUUUCGUUUAAACACCGGCUUCACACCUUCCUACAUAAUUGCAAAACAGGGAAUAUUAACAUUGCAUUUAAGUUGCAUGAAGAAAUGCUUCAUGAAACUGGUCGAUAUGGGAUUAAUUGUAAGCCUGACGUUAUUUCCUAUAGUAUCAUUAUAGAUGGGCUUUGUAAGGAUAGACAGGAAGACAAGGCAAGAGAACUUUUCGAGGAAAUGAAAGCUCAGGGUAUGGUUCCCGAUGUUAUUUCUUAUAACUCUUUGAUUCAUGGAUUUUGCCGUAGUGGAAAGUGGGAGGAGGCUAAAUUUUUGUUCAAUGAGAUGGUGGAUCAAGGUGUUCGACCAAAUUUGGUCACAUUUAGUGUGUUGAUUGAUAUGUUUUGCAAGGCUGGAAAGGUUAUCAAGGCUAAGGAGUUGCUAGAGAUGAUGAUUCAGAGAGGGAAACUUGAAGCUGCUUCGGAGCUUUUCGAAAAACUAUCCCAGGAAGGGCUUCAACCAGAUGUUGUGACUUAUAACAUUAUGAUCCAUGGGUUCUGUAAAAAGAGACAAGUAGAUAAGGCAAGUAUUUUGUUUCAAAAGAUGGAAGCAAAUGGUUGUACUCCCAACACAAUUACUUAUAAUACCCUUUUACGUGGUUUUUGCAAGAGUAAUAAAUCAGAGGAGGUGGUUCAACUUCUCCAUAGGAUGGUUCAGAAGGAUGUGUCGCCAGAUGCUUGCACUUGCACCAUAGGUGUAGACAUGCUUUGCAAAGAUGAAAAAUAUCAAGAAUUUCUAGACUUGCUUCCAAGAUUUCCUGUCCAAGAGCGUCGACAUUGAUAAUCACCUAUUGAUAGACUCAUUAGGAGCUAUAUGACUUGAAAUAUAUGGUUCUUGGGAGAUGGUUCAAGUUAUCAAUGUUAUGGGAGUUGAUUUCUUGCUUAAAAUAUAAACAGUUGUUAUUUGUUAUUUUCUUUAAUCAAUAGGUCUGCAUCUCAACAUUCAAGGGCAGCCACUAAUGCCUAUCUUAGGAAAGAUCAUGCUUCUGCCAAGAAUCAUUCAUCGAGAGCUCAAGAACAAUGGCUAGCUGCAAAAAUGUUAAAUGAUAAGGCAGCUAAUGAGAUUUUACAAACAAGGAAUAGUAAAAAAGGGCUCUGGAAGUUGGACUUACAUGGGCUUCAGGCAGCAAAGGCUGUUCAGGCCUUGCAAGAACACUCACGGAAAAUUGAAACUCGGAAUGCCUCCAAUCGGUAGUUGUCGCGAAAGGAAGCUGAAAGGAAAGGAUUCCAACGUGCUUCAUCCCUUGAGUAUCUUAGUUGUAUGGACUCAAAGUUGGACAGAGAAUUACCAUCAUCUAGACAUAGGCUGACAUCAUUGGAAGUCAUAAUAGGUAAAUUCGUAGCCGUUGCUGUUUAACUUUCAAGUUUCAACAUUUGUGGUCCCUAAGUUAGGUUGUCUAUGUAUUUUUGUGUUUUCUUAAAGCUAUUUUGUUAGUAUAGUCUCAAUUUUCUAAUUUUCAAAUGGAAAGCUUUUUUGUAAACCUUCUUGGGAAGAGGGAUACUUUUCUGGUCUUUCUCAGCCCCACCCUCCAAAAACAAGGCCCUUCUACCACAAAAAAAAUCUCCCAGUAACUCUUCUACCUUUCUAACCUCCUUAUUAGGACUUAAACUGAGAGAAAAUAGAUAGCAAGGCAAAGGCUGGAAAAGACAAAUAUAAACAAAAAUCAGAAGUGAAAGUAAUUCAUUACUCAACUCGCUCAAAGAACCUUUUGUGAAGGGAGUCCCAGAAAGAAGAGGACUUAGGUCUACCCUGCAGAACCCAAGAUAAGUUUCCAGUUGCUCGAACCAGUCUGCAAAAUGAGCUUUGCCUAUUGGAACAGUUUUUUCCACCAAUCACAUGCUGAUAGGAACACUAGAACCCUGGUGAUAACCAGUUAUUCAGUUGGGGAGUGGCCAGGAGAGUACAUGUGUCGUGAUUGUGGGUCCCAUUUUGUAAUCAUGGACAAAAUAGAAAUCUGUUUAGCUGCGAUGGGAGGGUGUAUAUAUUAGAUUAGAUAUGACAAUAGGUUGAUUUGGCUGAAGGGAAGCUUUAAAUGUUACUGACAUCCUAUGAAGCAUCGACAUUUUAGUUUGCCUAGUGUGCCCGUAUCGAACACUUGGACACUUGGACACUUGUUUGACAUAUAUCAAACAUAUGUUAGGGCAACAAAUUUAUUACACAUGCGUAGAACACUAACACUUGUUGCGUAGAACAUUAACACUUGUUGCGUAGACUAAAUGACGCAUAUAUUAUAAUAAUAAUAAAUUGAGGAUGAAAGUAAUUUUCCAAAUAUAUAAAUGCAUCAAUCCAUUAAUUAUGAAUUUUCUCCUAGUAUCUUAAUGAACGUGUCAUUGUUGUGACUGUCUUAGAUUUUAAAAAAACGAUGUGUUGCCAUGUCUAUGUCGUACUGUAUUAAUUUCUCGUAUCCGCAUAUGUGCACUGAGACGCAUGAUGUUUUGUUCAUUCCGAAGCUGCUCUACCAAAGGCUGUGACAAGUUUUCUUAGUGAAAAUGGUUAAUAAUUUGCAGGUACCGUUUCAAACAGUUAAGGUCUGCGACGAUCAGCAUUAGACCAAAGUUUCGUAGGUAAAUGGCUAAAGCACCCAUUAUUAUUUGUUAGUAUUGGCUUCAGGAGAAUGUAAUGUAAGUUAUUCAGUUAGAACUUAGAGAGUAGUUGGAGAUUGCCCAAGUGAAAUUGAAACGUGUAAAAUGACUGAAAAUGUUAUCUAGGAAUUUGUUUAUUCGAUGAAAUCUUGAACCUUAGAAGGCUGUAUAGGAGGGGGAAAAGAUUAACAAUGGUGGAUUGAUUGUUUACAAAUAUUGCUAUAUUGUUAUGAUGUUCUCUUUCUUGGAAAAGAUAGACAUAAAAGGCAUAUGUUGUUGAAGACGAUCAAUAAUAUUGGCAAUA